CCUUUUGAGGAAGUAGAGAUGUUGUUGUGCUUUCUUAGCUGUCACAUCGACGUGGGUGGACCAGGACAGUUUGUUGGUGAUCAGCACUCCCAGAAACUUGAAGCUUUCGACCAUCUCCACCUCAGCACGGGCUGGAAAGUGCAUCUCAUGGGAAGAGACGGCUGUAAAAUGAACCCCCGCCGAAUGCAGACAUUACAGAGGACCCAGCAACUCCAGCAAGAAAAAUCUGGGACUCUGGC
Long non-coding RNA from Rhincodon typus (whale shark), 239 nucleotides. RefSeq lists it as uncharacterized. NCBI's taxonomy places the organism in Eukaryota, Metazoa, Chordata, Chondrichthyes, Orectolobiformes, Rhincodontidae. The transcript has 3 exons. The record is from RefSeq and is a predicted model, not a curated record.